This 654-nucleotide ribosomal RNA is filed under the name Triticum aestivum (bread wheat). RNAcentral describes it as "partial small subunit ribosomal RNA". The record is from RNAcentral. Lineage: Eukaryota; Viridiplantae; Streptophyta; Magnoliopsida; Poales; Poaceae.
AUGGCGGGCGACAGGUGCGCGGGCGCGAUCGCGGGGUGCGAGCUGUGCGGGGGCGUCGCGGCGGUGCACUGCGCGGCGGACUCGGCUUUCCUCUGCGUGCCCUGCGACGCCAAGGUGCACGGCGCCAACUUCCUCGCCUCCAGGCACCUGCGGCGCCGGCUCGUUCACGCGGCCGCGGGCGAGGACGCCGGAUCCGCGGGCUCGGAGUCGGAGUCGUCGUCCAGCUCCUCCUGCGUGUCCACCGCCGACUCGUGCGCGGCCGCCUCCGCGGCGACGCGGGCGGCGGGGAGGAGGAGGGCCGGGUGCAAGCACCGGCGCGCGCGGGCGGAGGUGGUCCUCGAGGGGUGGGCCAAGCGGAUGGGCCUCGCGCCGGGAACGGCGCGCCGGCGGGCGGCCAGGGCCGCGGGCGCGCUCCGGGCGCUGGGCCGUGGCGUCUCCGCCUCCCGCGUAUCCCUCCGCGUCGCGAUGGCCGCCGCGCUCUGGUCGGAGGUCGCCGGAUCCGGCUGCGCGGAGGCCGCGCUGCUCCGCCGGCUGGAGGCAAGCUCGCACGUGCCGGCGAGGCUGGUGGUCACGGUGGCGUCGUGGAUGGCACGCACCGCGGUCCGGGCCCCCGCCCCUGCCCCCGCCGUGGAGGGCUGGGCCGAGUGCUCCUGA